ACGGACGAGAAGCUUGCUUCUCUGAUGUUAGCGGCGGACGGGUGAGUAACACGUGGAUAACCUACCUAUAAGACUGGGAUAACUUCGGGAAACCGGAGCUAAUACCGGAUAAUAUUUUGAACCGCAUGGUUCAAAAGUGAAAGACGGUCUUGCUGUCACUUAUAGAUGGAUCCGCGCUGCAUUAGCUAGUUGGUAAGGUAACGGCUUACCAAGGCAACGAUGCAUAGCCGACCUGAGAGGGUGAUCGGCCACACUGGAACUGAGACACGGUCCAGACUCCUACGGGAGGCAGCAGUAGGGAAUCUUCCGCAAUGGGCGAAAGCCUGACGGAGCAACGCCGCGUGAGUGAUGAAGGUCUUCGGAUCGUAAAACUCUGUUAUUAGGGAAGAACAUAUGUGUAAGUAACUGUGCACAUCUUGACGGUACCUAAUCAGAAAGCCACGGCUAACUACGUGCCAGCAGCCGCGGUAAUACGUAGGUGGCAAGCGUUAUCCGGAAUUAUUGGGCGUAAAGCGCGCGUAGGCGGUUUUUUAAGUCUGAUGUGAAAGCCCACGGCUCAACCGUGGAGGGUCAUUGGAAACUGGAAAACUUGAGUGCAGAAGAGGAAAGUGGAAUUCCAUGUGUAGCGGUGAAAUGCGCAGAGAUAUGGAGGAACACCAGUGGCGAAGGCGACUUUCUGGUCUGUAACUGACGCUGAUGUGCGAAAGCGUGGGGAUCAAACAGGAUUAGAUACCCUGGUAGUCCACGCCGUAAACGAUGAGUGCUAAGUGUUAGGGGGUUUCCGCCCCUUAGUGCUGCAGCUAACGCAUUAAGCACUCCGCCUGGGGAGUACGACCGCAAGGUUGAAACUCAAAGGAAUUGACGGGGACCCGCACAAGCGGUGGAGCAUGUGGUUUAAUUCGAAGCAACGCGAAGAACCUUACCAAAUCUUGACAUCCUUUGACAACUCUAGAGAUAGAGCCUUCCCCUUCGGGGGACAAAGUGACAGGUGGUGCAUGGUUGUCGUCAGCUCGUGUCGUGAGAUGUUGGGUUAAGUCCCGCAACGAGCGCAACCCUUAAGCUUAGUUGCCAUCAUUAAGUUGGGCACUCUAAGUUGACUGCCGGUGACAAACCGGAGGAAGGUGGGGAUGACGUCAAAUCAUCAUGCCCCUUAUGAUUUGGGCUACACACGUGCUACAAUGGACAAUACAAAGGGCAGCGAAACCGCGAGGUCAAGCAAAUCCCAUAAAGUUGUUCUCAGUUCGGAUUGUAGUCUGCAACUCGACUACAUGAAGCUGGAAUCGCUAGUAAUCGUAGAUCAGCAUGCUACGGUGAAUACGUUCCCGGGUCUUGUACACACCGCCCGUCACACCACGAGAGUUUGUAACACCCGAAGCCGGUGGAGUAACCUUUUAGGAGCUAGCCGUCGAAGGUGGGACAAAUGAUUGGGGUGAAGUCGUAACAAGGUAGCCGUAUCGGAAGGUGCGGCUGGAUCACCU
RNAcentral lists this ribosomal RNA (1478 nucleotides) under Staphylococcus aureus F85609. RNAcentral describes it as "bacterial SSU rRNA". It matches the Rfam family "Bacterial small subunit ribosomal RNA". RNAcentral also lists the same sequence under 5 other names. The record is from RNAcentral. Lineage: Bacteria; Bacillati; Bacillota; Bacilli; Caryophanales; Staphylococcaceae.